This 486-nucleotide ribosomal RNA is filed under the name uncultured bacterium. RNAcentral describes it as "partial 16S ribosomal RNA". It matches the Rfam family "Bacterial small subunit ribosomal RNA", at positions 30 to 507 of the family's 1533-position model. The record is from RNAcentral.
AUUGAACGCUGGCGGCAUGCCUUACACAUGCAAGUCGAACGGCAGCACGGGUGCUUGCACCUGGUGGCGGGUGGCGAACGGGUGAGUAAUACAUCGGAACAUGUCCUGUAGUGGGGGAUAGCCCGGCGAAAGCCGGAUUAAUACCGCAUACGAUCUACGGAUGAAAGCGGGGGACCUUCGGGCCUCGCGCUAUAGGGUUGGCCGAUGGCUGAUUAGCUAGUUGGUGGGGUAAAGGCCUACCAAGGCGACGAUCAGUAGCUGGUCUGAGAGGACGACCAGCCACACUGGGACUGAGACACGGCCCAGACUCCUACGGGAGGCAGCAGUGGGGAAUUUUGGACAAUGGGCGAAAGCCUGAUCCAGCAAUGCCGCGUGUGUGAAGAAGGCCUUCGGGUUGUAAAGCACUUUUGUCCGGAAGGAAAUCCUUGGCUCUAAUACAGUCGGGGGAUGACGGUACCGGAAGAAUAAGCACCGGCUAACUACGUG